GCUAAUACCGCAUAAGCCCACGGUGCCGCAUGGCACAGAGGGAAAAGGAGCAAUCCGCUUUGAGAUGGCCUCGCGUCCGAUUAGCUAGUUGGUGAGGUAAUGGCCCACCAAGGCGACGAUCGGUAGCCGGACUGAGAGGUUGAACGGCCACAUUGGGACUGAGACACGGCCCAGACUCCUACGGGAGGCAGCAGUGGGGAAUAUUGCACAAUGGGGGAAACCCUGAUGCAGCGACGCCGCGUGGAGGAAGAAGGUCUUCGGAUUGUAAACUCCUGUUGUUGAGGAAGAUAAUGACGGUACUCAACAAGGAAGUGACGGCUAACUACGUGCCAGCAGCCGCGGUAAAACGUAGGUCACAAGCGUUGUCCGGAAUUACUGGGUGUAAAGGGAGCGCAGGCGGGAAGACAAGUUGGAAGUGAAAUCUAUGGGCUCAACCCAUAAACUGCUUUCAAAACUGUUUUUCUUGAGUAGUGCAGAGGUAGGCGGAAUUCCCGGUGUAGCGGUGGAAUGCGUAGAUAUCGGGAGGAACACCAGUGGCGAAGGCGGCCUACUGGGCACCAACUGACGCUGAGGCUCGAAAGUGUGGGUAGCAAACAGGAUUAGAUACCCUGGUAGUCCACACCGUAAACGAUGAUUACUAGGUGUUGGAGGAUUGACCCCUUCAGUGCCGCAGUUAACACAAUAAGUAAUCCACCUGGGGAGUACGACCGCAAGGUUGAAACUCAAAGGAAUUGACGGGGGCCCGCACAAGCAGUGGAGUAUGUGGUUUAAUUCGACGCAACGCGAAGAACCUUACCAAGUCUUGACAUCCUGCGACGGACAUAGAGAUAUGUCUUUCCUUCGGGACGCAGAGACAGGUGGUGCAUGGUUGUCGUCAGCUCGUGUCGUGAGAUGUUGGGUUAAGUCCCGCAACGAGCGCAACCCUUAUGGUCAGUUACUACGCAAGAGGACUCUGGCCAGACUGCCGUUGACAAAACGGAGGAAGGUGGGGAUAACGUCAAAUCAUCAUGCCCUUUAUGACUUGGGCUACACACGUACUACAAUGGCGUUAAACAAAGAGAAGCAAGACCGCGAGGUGGAGCAAAACUCAGAAACAACGUCCCAGUUCGGACUGCAGGCUGCAACUCGCCUGCACGAAGUCGGAAUUGCUAGUAAUCGCAGAUCAGCAUGCUGCGGUGAAUACGUUCCCGGGCCUUGUACACACCGCCCGUCACACCAUGAGAGCCGGGGGGACCCGAAGUCGGUAGUCUAACCGCAAGGAGGACGCCGCCGAAGGUAAAACUGGUGAUUGGGGUGAAGUCGUAACAAGGUA
RNAcentral lists this ribosomal RNA (1312 nucleotides) under metagenome. RNAcentral describes it as "bacterial SSU rRNA". It matches the Rfam family "Bacterial small subunit ribosomal RNA", at positions 162 to 1498 of the family's 1533-position model. The record is from RNAcentral.